RNAcentral lists this small nuclear RNA (107 nucleotides) under Echinops telfairi (small Madagascar hedgehog). Lineage: Eukaryota; Metazoa; Chordata; Mammalia; Afrosoricida; Tenrecidae. The record is from RNAcentral.
GUGCUCCAAUAGGCAGCACAUAUACUAAAAUUGGAACGACGCAGAGAAGAUUAGCAUGGCCCCUGUGCAAGGAUGACAUGCAAAUUAGUGAAGCACUCCAUAUUUUU